CCUAAAUUUUUAAUGAAAUUAUUAGUGAAGGAAAGACUAUGGUCUCUGUGUUCUUCUGUUGGUUUUUUCAAGAGAAAAUACCUGAUCUGUGGAGACAGACAACCCUGACAAGUUUGAUAGACUUCAAAAUGGGAGUUUGCAUGGAUGAAGAUAUAAAAACACAGACGGGAGCCUUCUGCUAAAAUCUGAACAGUCUGGUUUCUUACUCUUUUAAACAGAACUUGGACAGAAGAGCUGACCACAAUAAAAUAGAACUUCAGUGCCUUACUGUCAAUCUAAAUUCAUCAUAUGGAACCUAUCAUUCAAAUCAUGUUCCUGAGAAAAACUAAACCAGAGCAGAAGGAUUCCACAUUUCCUAACAACCUAUACUGCGGACUGAGAUGAUGACAAAGGAGGCAACUCUUGAACGACUAGCAUCCCUGGACAGAGGCACCUGCUUACAAACCCCCAACUAUUGCUAUAAGCAGUUGAGGUAGCAGUUCAUGUGCCUUGAAUCCUUUACAGCUCUUGCCUGCAGAAGCACAGCUUGACCAGAAAUAGCCCUGUGAGUCUGGAAAGAAAUGAGUUCAUCUUCACAUCUUGUGCUUUAAGCUUUGUCUUGGGGCUCAUAGAAAUUUCUCUGCUGUAGAUUACAUGGCUGGGUACCUCUGGGAUCCCUUCACAAUUUAAAAAGGCCAAGGGAGCAGCACAUAAAAAAUGAACUCUUCCUGGCAUCUGAUUCAACACAUUGUUUAGUCACAUGUUCCUCCAUCUUUCCUCAGAACAGAGCAAGAGAAAUAUACAGUUGAGUACAGUCUGUGAACAUCUUUGCUAUCAGCUGGAAUUUUCCUAUUUCCUGCAACAAAGAACUGAUGGAUGAUUUUGCCUGUCUACCAGCUCCAUCAGAAAAUGCCUUAGAAAUAUACUAAAUUCUAUAACUAUAUGAUUAUUUUAAUUUGUCUUUAUUCUCUUCCUGAUUUUAAUGUGUGCUACAUCGGCACUGCCUUUUGUGUCUGCUGAUCAUGUCAUUAAUACUCGGUAAUUGGUAUUUUCACAAAUACUUUGGUGAAAGAUCCAACGCUGCACGUGGAAGGCCUGAAGCUGAAGGUCGUCACCCAUGUGGGAUCCCAGAUGUGGGAAAUUUCACAGAUGUUGCAUAUAUACAUAUGUAUAUGUGUGUGUCUGUGUAUGUAAAUCAUAUUUACACACAUUCAAUAUUUAGUUUUGGCCAUUGCUGGAGACAGGAUACUGGACUAUAAAAGCUUAUGCUGGAUUGGUUUGACUGAGUAAAACAUGUUUUAUUCAUUUGUAGACAGAAAAUGUAAAAGUAUCAAAUUACUGCUUUUCAACUCUUAUUUUUUUACUUAUGUACUGCCAAUCUGUGCUGCUGGCCCUUGUGCAAAGGAUAAAGUAGUGUCUUCUUUGAGAAAGGCAUCCUGGUAGAUUUCAGCACUGGAAAAUUCUUCAGAUGAGUCACUGUUGUGUGGGUUUCUAUUGCCCUUCCAAAAAAUGGAAGAUGUCAUUACACGCUACAUCUCUUAGACAAACGAAAAGCAGAGCUGGGGUUUUUUUCCCUGUUUCUCCAGCAGCUUCUGUGUAUAAAUUAUACAUUUUCUUAAAUAUCUGCAUUUUCUAUUUCAGGUUUGAGCUGAUAACCUGUGUUUUUGCACAGUAGGCAAACCUCAUGCUGUCACAAGCAGCGGUGAUACAGCCUCGCAUUUCGCUUCCCUUCAUCCCAAGGAGCCCUUUGCUAUUAUGCCAUUAGAGAUAAUGCAGAGCUUUGAAUUGAAACACCGCAGACACCAGUGGUGCAUGACAACUUUUCUAGCCCAUGAUCUGCCACCGUACAAUGGGACCUGCUCAGCUGCACCAGCCCACGUUGAGAGGAGACAAUCAAUUCUGUAGAGGACAGUCUCAAGCUGUAACACCUUCCCCAGCUAAGGAGCUGAAGGAGCCUUGUGCUUCUCCUCUGAGAAGACGGAAAUGUAUCUGUCAAGAUUGCAAACAUAUAUACCCUCAGAAACCAAAAUAAAUACCCAAAAGAGUUUGAAUGUGGGAUGCAGGGUGGCACUGCUUGUGUUCUGGGAAUUGUUUGAAUUUUGGAGCACAGGAGCUUGGGGGCAAAGGUGCUGUCAUGACUUUCUCAUUGCAGAGCUCAGAAUGGCUGCACAUUCCAUGGGAAUGGGUACACAGAUAUGUGGCCAUCUAAGUCUUACAGCAAACAAUCAGUAUUAAAGUUUUUUAAAUCUUUUAUGAAAAAUACAGAAGACAAGCAGAUAAAGUACUUGUUAUGUAAAGUGUUCAAGGAGACUUUCAUUUUAACAGCAUCCAUUAUCCCCUUUUCUUUUAGCUGCAGAGCAUUUUUAUGUGGAAAAUUCCCUGGUUGAUAGUGUCUUUUUAUACAGUAUUAAGAUGAUAUUAACUCCCCCUUUGGGAGAGAAUAAUAAAAUAAAAAGCAGCUGAAAUG
Long non-coding RNA from Pseudopipra pipra, 2446 nucleotides. RefSeq lists it as uncharacterized. The record is from RefSeq and is a predicted model, not a curated record. NCBI's taxonomy places the organism in Eukaryota, Metazoa, Chordata, Aves, Passeriformes, Pipridae. The transcript is spliced from 2 exons.